Molecule: ribosomal RNA, 480 nt
Filed under: Triticum aestivum (bread wheat)
Lineage: Eukaryota; Viridiplantae; Streptophyta; Magnoliopsida; Poales; Poaceae
Description: partial small subunit ribosomal RNA
Source: RNAcentral
AUGGCGGAGCAGACCGAGAAGUCUUUCCUCAAGCAGCCAAAGGUUUUCCUCAGCACGAAAAAGGCCGACAAGGCCAAGAGGCCAGGCAAGGCUGGCAACCGCUUCUGGAAGAGUGUUGGCCUUGGUUUCAAGACCCCAAGGGAAGCGAUCGAUGGUACCUACAUUGACAAGAAGUGCCCAUUCACUGGAACUGUUGCCAUCAGGGGCAGAAUCAUAGCUGGAACCUGCCACAGUGCCAAGAUGAACAGGACCAUCAUUGUUCGCAGGAACUACCUUCAUUUUGUGAAGAAGUAUCAGAGGUAUGAGAAGAGGCACUCCAACAUCCCAGCUCACAUCUCCCCCUGCUUCCGAGUCAAGGAAGGCGACCAUGUCAUCAUUGGCCAGUGCAGGCCCCUGUCGAAAACCGUGAGAUUCAAUGUCCUGAAGGUUGUUCCAGCUGGAACCACCGGAGGCGGGAAGAAGGCUUUCAUCGCUGCUUAA